RNAcentral lists this ribosomal RNA (429 nucleotides) under Gemmatimonadota bacterium. RNAcentral describes it as "Gemmatimonadetes bacterium partial 16S ribosomal RNA". It matches the Rfam family "Bacterial small subunit ribosomal RNA", at positions 355 to 776 of the family's 1533-position model. Lineage: Bacteria; Pseudomonadati; Gemmatimonadota. The record is from RNAcentral.
UAGGGAAUCUUCGGCAAUGGACGAAAGUCUGACCGAGCAACGCCGCGUGAGUGAAGAAGGUUUUCGGAUCGUAAAACUCUGUUGUUAGAGAAGAACAAGGACGUUAGUAACUGAACGUCCCCUGACGGUAUCUAACCAGAAAGCCACGGCUAACUACGUGCCAGCAGCCGCGGUAAUACGUAGGUGGCAAGCGUUGUCCGGAUUUAUUGGGCGUAAAGCGAGCGCAGGCGGUUUCUUAAGUCUGAUGUGAAAGCCCCCGGCUCAACCGGGGAGGGUCAUUGGAAACUGUGGGACUUGAGUGCAGAAAAGGAGGGGGGAAUUCCAUGUGUAUCGGUGAAAUGCGUAGAUAUAUGGAGGAACACCAGUGGCGAAGGCUGCUCUCUGGUCUGUAACUGACGCUGAGGCUCGAAAGCGUGGGGAGCAAACAGG